UCCCCCGGGGUGCAGUUGAGAUAUGAGAGACAUCAUUAGGGAAGAGACGUGAUAUCCCGAAAUCUGCAACUUUGACACUGAAACUCUGAUCAAGGAGUAUGUUAUUAGUCUUGACAUCACAGUGUAUUAUGUCAGAAGCAUGAAGGUAAGCCAAUGCACCAGCAGUUUCUAUGGCAAUGUUCAAGCGGACUGGCCAGGUGAGUGAUCUGUUCUUCGCUCUGUCACCAUGGAGGUGAUCAGCUAGAGUUCCGUUAGGAAUGUAUUCAUAGACAAGGAUUAGUUCACGGCUACGCCUUGAAGUGCAGCCAUAAAGAGUGACAAGAUUGGUGUGCCUUAGCCUAGUAAGGAUCUCAAUUUCAUUUACAAACUGCUGCAUUUGUUUGGAGUUGUGCUCAUAAAGGCGCUUCACAGCAACCUCUCGUCCAUCCUUAAGUUGUCCUAGUCAUUAGUGAACAAGUAUUAGGCACAUGAAGAAAGAAUUGAAGCAUAGCUCAGUUGGAUUAGGAAGUCUCUCACCAUAGUAAACAGUUCCGAACCCUCCAUCUCCAAGAACUCGAGAGGAUUUAAAAUCAUUCGUGGCUUCUUCAAGUUCUGAAUAAGAAAAGACUGGGAUGCCAAAGUAUAUACUGCCUCCCUCAACAUCAUUUUUAAAUAUAUAUGACAAUUUCCUUGUUAAGAGGAAGUGGGGUGGAUUAAAUUUCCUCUUCUUGUAACACCAGAUAAAGUAGACAGCUAAACAAGUUAUCAUCACCAAUACUCCACCAAAAACUGGAAAUAAAUAAAAAUCGAAGGUUUCAAAAAAAAAAGAAGCAAAACAUCGCAAUCUCUCAACUCCACUUUGUCAUUAUGAAUAUGUUUUGAGAAUUUACCACAAUGAAAAAGAAAAUUCAAAGAACAUGUAUGGAAAUUCUGAAAUAGAAAGAAAGAUGAGGUUAAUGGAUAUUUAACUACCUGCUCCAAGAGUCAGUCCCAACUUGCUUCUAUUUGCUUUUGCAUCUAAACAGAAGAGGGAAAAUUAUCAGAUGUCAUAUGAAACAAAAAAGGACCCUAAGAAAUAUGCAUUUGACCUUGAACAUGUUAAUUAUUUUGAGAUGUCUACCUUUGUAACAAAGAAAAUUGUUCUUCUUAUCAGUCUGACAUCGACCUCCACCAUAGUGACAUUUGUUACAGUCAUCAGACAAUUUCCAUUCUACUAGAAAUGCAGAACGUAAGAAGUUGACCAAAUUAUUACCAGGUUCUGUUUGGUAAUAUGGCAAUCUGAUAAGGGAACAGUUGGCAGUAAGAUUGUCUGCUAGAAUGUCUUCAUCAUCAACUCCAUAAAACUUGUAGUAUAUGGUGAAUCCAUCACAGCCAUCAUAUGAGUAAUAACCAUCAAAAUGAUCUUUCAUCUGCUGAUUAAUGUAUGGGUUGUUACUACUAGUCCUAUUGCAUUUGUAGAAGUUCUGAAGGUUAACUGCAGAGAAAGAAAUAGAAGGAGAGCCUGAAAGGGAGAUAUUUUUGUUAAAAGCUUGGCACUUGUUUUUCCUCAAUAUAGUUUGAAGCUUCGGGUCCACGACCCAAACUGUAUAACUAUACUCCUUGCCUAUAGCAUAGUACCAUUCUCCUCCAGGAACCAGUUGGAUUCUUGGAAAUAGUUUAACAUCACAACCAGAGAUGGGAACUAUUCCGCAGUCGGGUUGUGUGGAAAGAGAGAAAGGAAAGCUCAGGUCAGUAAGAUUUCCACAUGAAAAGGACUUUGGACAAGUUGAAUCAUUUCUCCCCUUUGCCUGAACUAACAUCAGAAGAAGAGAUAGAAUAACGCAAACAGACGAAGAAGCCAAAGACAUAUUGUGAAUCCUACUGCAAGAAGAGCAAAGCUAGCUGAAGUUUUUGUGAAUUGCAACUCUAGUUCACCAGACUGGUAUCUUAUAAGAUCAAGUGCCAUAACUUCUAAACACUUUCUCCAUUAAUAGUCUCCAUCUUACUGGUAAAACUUGUCAAAAAGAAAUACUAACUGGAACCAAACAUAAUCAGACUUAUUGAGGAAACAAAGGCAAGGCUUAGAAAAUAUUGAAACUUUCACAUCAGUAAAGACUUGACUUAUUGACUCUGCAAUAUACCAGGCAACUUCUUAUCAGUUUCAGGACCAAAGUCUUCAAAAAUGGUUGACUUAACCUGUAGAAAUAUGAAAAUGAAAAGGUUCUAGUCACACCCCAAAACACAACUAAAGAUAGUUUGAUAAUGUAAAAAGAAUACUGCAUACUUAUCAGGUAGCUUCAUAUCUCCUCCUUAUGGUGAACAAAUCCAGUCUUCCAUUUGCUCAUUCUCACUAGAAAUUACCAAGAAAGUUUUCCAAGUAUAGCAGAGUAUAUACGGUGUAAGCUAGAAAUACUUGCAAUGUUCCAAGCCAUCUUCUACAAAAUUUUGAAAAAGUAACAAAUCAGCAAUCAGUAUUCUAGAAUAUGGAACACUGGCCCCUCUAUUCCAUGACUAACAUUGAAACAAUAGUGCAUAUCACUAUGACUAAAUACUCAUAAAUUUCUAACGAUGGCCCCUCAAAUUCCAUGAAACAUAAACCUUAUCUUCUUCUUUUUUCUCUAACUUCUCCCAUCAUUUUCUGUUACACCAGCUUUUGAUCCCAAAAAGAAAAGAAAGUGUGUCAUUGGACAGAGCCAUUGCUUUACAUUUUCCAACCUUCCAGUGUAUAUAACAGCUCUUAUAUAAUGAAACUAAAAAUUGAAUCACUUCCACUCGUAGAUACAUUGCUCAAGAAACUUCUCCGAGUAGUACAUUCAUAGUCUCUCAAAAUCUACAUCAAUAACAAAGGAAGGGGGUACAGAACUACUUUGUACUAGUUAUACUAGAGCAAGUAAUCCAUUUACCAGUCACAGAAUUUGGUGAAGGUAGUGAUUUAACUUGUUUAAGCAAUAACUGAUCUUCUGAUUCAGGGAAAGGAAAUACUUUCUUUUCAUUGUCAAAUUCACUAGUCUGAAUCUCCUUUAGAGUAUCCAAAACUUCAACCAUAGUAGGCCUCAUGUCCCUAUCUGUCUGUAAGCAUAGAAAAGCCAGCUCUGCCACUGAAGUAGUCAUUUCCAAAAUCUUGGUAUCUGAGUCGAACCCCAGGGAUGGAUCGAUCAACUCAUGAAAUGCACAUUUUACGAUCUUGUUUAUAGCAAAGUUAGCCAAAUUAAUUUCUUGGCUAUGCCUGUUCAUAUCCACAGCUGGCAUUGAUGAAAUGAGCUCAACAAGGACCACCCCGAAGCUAUAGACAUCACUUUUACUAGUCAGCUGAUAACAUUCUUGAUACUUUGGAUCAAUAUAGCCAGGGGUCCCCCGGGGUGCAGUUGAUAUAUGAGAGACGUCAUUUGGGAAGAGACGUGAUAUCCCGAAAUCUGCAACUUUGACACUGAAAUUCUGAUCAAGGAGUAUGUUAUUAGUCUUGACAUCACAGUGUAUUAUGUCAGAAGCAUGAAGGUAAGCCAAUGCACCAGCAGUUUCUAUGGCAAUGUUCAAACGGACUGGCCAGGUGAGUGAUCUGUUCUUCGCUCUGUCACCAUGGAGGUGAUCAGCAAGAGUUCCAUUAGGAAUGUAUUCAUAGACAAGGAGUAGUUCACGGCUACGCCUUGAUGUGCAGCCAUAGAGGGUGACAAGAUUGUUGUGCCUUAGCCUAGUAAGGAUCUCAAUUUCAUUUACAAACUGCUGCAUUUGUUUGCAGUUCUGCUCGUAAAGGCGCUUCACAGCAACCUCUCGUCCAUCCUUUAGUUUUCCUAGUCAUUGAAGAACAAGAAUUAGGCACAUGAAGAUAUAGUUGAAACAUAGCUCAGUUGGAUUAGUUCCUCACCAUAGUAAACAGUUCCAAAACCUCCAUGUCCAAGUACUCUGGAGGAACUGAAAUCAUUUGUGGCUUUUUCAAGUUCUGAAUAAGAGAAGACUGGGACACCAAAGUAUUUGCUCCCUCCCUCAACAUCAUGUUUAAAUAUAUCCGAGAAUUUCUUUGCCGAGAGGUAGCGGAAUGGACUAAAUUUCCUCUCCUUGUAACACCAGAUAAAGGAGACAGCUAAACAAGUUAUCAUCAACAAUCCUACCACACCAAAAACUGAAAGAGAAGUCAGUAAACCAAGUCACUCAAACAAAAAUAAAAAUAAAAAUAAAAAGAUAGCAAGGAGAAGGAAUUUUCCUUUUUUUUUGAUGAAAAAAGGUUAUAGAUUUCACUAAAGAGUGCCAAGAAGGUAUAAGAAAGAGAACAGACUACAAAAUUUCCUUCUAUAUUUUGAAUGAAUGCAAAAUAUAUAACAUAGCGUUCAUAUCCGAUACAAUGCUUUCUCUACACCAUAAGUAUAGACUUUUCAAACAUCUAGAUUUGACAUGAAGUAUUUUUCCCUCUAUCAUCAUUAGAACAUCUGUCAUUCUUCUCCUGCCAGACAUUCCAGAAAGAAUUUUCCCUCAACUCCAUUAUCCAUAUGUUUUGUGUAACGGAACUUUUUGAACUGAAAGAAUUUAAAACUCUUCUUUAUGUUUCUUUAUGUCAAGAGAAAGUUGUUGAACUUAUACCACUUUAAAGAUGAAAACUCAAAUGAUAUGCAUAGAAAUACUGUAAUAGCAUAUAGUAUUACAGCUUAAUAUAUAUCAAAACUACCUGUGCCUAGAACCAGCCCCACCAUACUUCUUGUAGUCGUUGCUGCAUCUACAAAAGAGAAAAUGUUAUGGCAUAUUAUCGAUAUGUGAUAUGAAAACAAAAAAGGACCCUAAGAAAUAUGCACUAGACUUUGAACAUGUUGAUUAUUUGGAACUGUCUACCUUUUUGACAAUAAAAUUUGUUGGUUGUAUCCGUCCGACAUUGACCUCCAUCAUAGUGACAUUUGUUACAGUCAUCAGAGAGUUUCCAUUCUACUAGAAAUCCGGGAGUAAAAAAGUUUCCAUCUAAUGUUGGGUGAAUUGGCAAUUGGAGAAGUGAACAGUUUGUAGUAAGAUUGCCUGCUCGAACGUCUUCAUCAUCACCUCCAGGAAGCUUGUAGUAUAUGCUAAAGCCUUUACAACCAUUGUACAUUUUAUAACCAGAAAAAUGCUCGUUGUUCUUCGGGGUACUACUAGUGCUGUUGCAUCUGUAAAAAUCCCUCAUAAAUAUUUGGAUAAUUUUGAAAGAUAUCGAAGGAGAAUCUGGAAGGGAGAUAUUUUUGUUAAAAGCCUGGCACUUGUUUUUCCUCAAUAUAGUUUGAAGCUUCAGGUCCACGAGCCAAACUGUAUAAUUAAACGGCUCGUCCAUAGCAUCAUACCAAUCUCCUCCAGGAAGCAAUUGGAUUCUUGGAUAUUGUUUAACAUUACAACCAGAAAUGGACAUUAUUCCACAGUCAGGUUGUGUUAGAAGAGUGAAAGGAAAGCUCAUGUCAGUAAGAUUUCCACAUGAAAAGGACUUUGGACAAGUUGAAUCAUUUCUCCCGUUUGCCUGAACUAAAAUCAGAAGAAGAGAUAGAAUAAAGCAAACAAAAGAAGAAGCCAAAGCCAUAUUGAAUAUCUACUGCAAGAAGAGGAAAGAGAGCUGAAGAUUUGUGAAUUGCAACUCUAGCUAAACAGACUAUCUUAUAGGCUCAAGUUCCAUAACUAGUCGUUAUCUUAUUCAUAUAUAUUUGUAAAAAAGGAAACAGUAUGUACAACCAAACGUAUAAGAAGGGUCAGACUUAUUGAGCAAAAGAAAGGCAAAGUAAAAAGGAAAUUUCCACUGUACCUUUUCGUAAACAACCAAACGUAUAAGAGGGGUCAGACUUAUUGGGAAAAAGAAAGGCGAAGAAGAAUAGGAAAGCUUCACAUUACCUUUUCUAGCCAUCAACACCAGUAGAAAGACUUGACUUGUUGACUCUGUGUACUAACAGAGACUUAUCAACAUUUUUCAGGACCGUCUCCGGAAAUGGAAGAUUUCAACUGUAGAAAUAGAAGCAAUAUUCAUUUCAGUUGUCUGAAAGUUAAAUGGUUUGCAGAUAUAUCCGAAGGCACAUAAAGAUAGUAUGAGAAUGAAAUUUUCAGGACCAACCUUCCAUUUGUUCAUUUUUCUCACUAUAAACUAUCAAGAAUAUGUUUCCAACCUUCAUCCCUAACUUAUGAACACUCACCUCAGAAAUCCAAGACACUGUGAGUGUAUGACAAAGAUUGAAACAAGAGUGCAUAUUACGAUGACAUAAUACUUAGAUAAACACUUGUACUUACACAGAUUUCUAAUGCCGGUCCUCAACAACUCCAUUAGUUCUCGAUUAAAAAGUUCUUAAAACUGCCGGGUGUAUACAACUUAAACUUUUAUAGAAAUUAAAAAUUGGAUCACUUCUACUCAUAGUACAUAGCUCAAGAAACUUCUCACAGUAGUACAUAUGCAGUCUCCCAAAAUUUACAUAGAAGUAACAAAGAAACGAAGUAUAGAAAUCUUAACUACUUUGUACAAGUUAUAUCAGAGCAAGUAGUCCAUUUGUCAGUCACAGAAUUUGGAGAAGGUAGUGAUUUAACUUUCUUCAACAAAACAAUAUCUUCUGAUUCAGGGAAAGGAGGAGCUGCUACUAUUUUAGCUUCAUUGGCAUUGAGAUUAGUCUGAAUCUCGUUUAGAGUAUCCAAAACUUCAACCAUAGUAGGCCUCACGUCCCUAUCUGUCUGCAAGCACAGAAAAGCCAGCUCCGCCACUGAAGUAGUCAUUUCCCGAGUUUUGGUAUCUGAAUCGAACCCCAGGGAUGGAUCAAUCAACUCAUUAACUGCAGAUUUUAUGAUCUUGUUUAUUGCAUAGUUGGCCAAAUUGAUCUCUUGGCUAUGCCUGUUCAUAUCCACAGCUGGCAUUGAUGAAAUGAGCUCAACAAGGACCACCCCGAAGCUAUAGACAUCACUUUUAAUGGUCAGCUGGUAACAUUCGUGAUACUUUGGAUCAAUAUAGCCUGGGGUACCCCGGGGUGUAGUCGAAAUAUGAGAGACAUCAUUUGGGAAGAGCCUUGAAAUCCCAAAAUCCGCAACUUUAACACCAAAGUUGUGAUCAAGGAGUAUGUUAUUAGUCUUCACAUCGCAGUGUAUUACAUCAGAAGCAUGCAGGUAAGCCAAUGCACCAGCAGUUUCUAUGGCAAUGUUCAUGCGGACUGGCCAGGUAAGUGAUCCGUCCUUCGCUCUGUCACCAUGAAGGUGAUCAGCAAGAGUACCAUUAGGAAUAUAUUCAUAGACAAGGAGUAGUUCACGGCUUCGUCUUGAAGUGCAUCCAUAGAGGGUGACAAGAUUAUUGUGCCUUAGUCUAGUAAGGAUAUCAAUUUCAUUUACAAACUGCUCCAUUCGCUUGCAGUUGUGCUCGUAGAGGCGCUUUACAGCAAUCUCCCGUCCAUCUUUAAGUUUUCCUGUUCAUCGAUGGGAAAGAAUUAGCCAGAAGAAGAAACAGUUGAUACAUAUCCAGGUUAAGAAGUUUCUCACCAUAGUAAACAGUUCCAUAACCUCCAUCUCCAAGUACUCUAGAGGAAUUGAAAUCAUCUGUGGCUUCUUCAAGUUCUGAAUAAGAGAAGACUGAAACACCAAAGUAUAUACUGCCUCCCUCAGCAUCAUGAUUAAAGAUAUUUGACAAUUUCCUUGUCGAGAAGAAGUGGGAUGAACUAAAUUUCCUCUUCUUGUAACGCCAGAUAACGUAUACAGCUAAAGAAGUUAUCAUCACCGAUCCUACUCCGCCAAAGACUGGAAGAGAAGUUAGUAAUCAAUGUCUUUGGAAAAGCAAAACGAAAUAGCAUCUAGAAGGAAUUCUCCCUCAACUCCACAUCCAUACAUUUUGUGUUUAAGUCUCUUCUUUCUGUUCCUUUAUUGCUAGAGAAAGGAUUUGAGCUUAUACAAAAUGAUGGAAUUUUAAAUGAUAUGCUUGAAUAUUCUGUAAUAAGAAUACAUGGCAGCAAUUAAACAUAUUUUACUACCUGUUCCCAGAAUCUGCCCCACCAUAUUUCUUCCAGUUGUUUCUUUUCUUUGAUCGGUACUACCUGUAGGUGGUUUUGCAUCUACAGAAGGUGGCAAUAAUACGAAAUAUAUUAUUUAUGUGGCAUGAAACAAAAAAGGGACUUAAGAAGCAUGAACUUGACCUUGAAAUUAUAGAUUAUUUUGGAGAUGUCUACCUUUGUGACAAGAAAAUUUGUUGGUUUUAUCAGUCUGGCAUUGACCUCCACUAUAAUGACAUUCGUUACAUUCCUCAGACAGUUUCCAUUCUACUAGAAUUUCGGGACCUAAUAUGUCGAACAAAUCACCAUGACUUGAUUGAAUUGGCAAUCUGAUAAGUGAACAGUUGGUAGGAAGAUUGUCUGCUCUUAUGUAUUCAUCAACUUCAGAAAACUUGUAGUAUAUGCUAAGGCCUUCACAGCCACUGUACAUAUUAUAAUCCACAAAAUGAUUGUUCUUCUUCUGCAUAAUGUUAUGGGCAUUAUUACUGCUACUGAUGCAUUUGAAGAACUUAUUAAUAUUAAUCAUAUGGAAAGACAUAAAAGGAGAGUUUGGAAGGGAGAAAUUUUUGUUGAAAGCCUGGCACUUGUGUUGUCUCAGUGUCGUUUGAAGCUUAGGGUCCCCAAUCCAAACUGAUGAAUUAUGCAUCUCUAAAGCAUAGUACCAUUCUCCUCCAGGAACUAUUUGGAUUCUUGGAUAUGGUUUAGCAUCACAACCAGACAUGGACAUUAUUCCACAAUCGGGUUGUGUGGGAAGAGAGUAAGGAAAUGUCAGGUCAGUAAAAUUUCCACAUGAAAAGGACUUUGGACAAGUUGAAACAUUUCUGCCCUUUGCCUGAACUAACAUCACAAGUAGAGACAGAAGGAAACAAAUAAAAGAAGAAGACAAAUCCAUACUGAAUCUAACUGCAAUAAGAGGAAAGCUAGCUAAAGCUUUGUGAAUUGUGACUCUAGAAGUCUAUAUCUUAUAAGACAUGAAUAGUGUCUCCAUUACUAGUCUUAAGUUUAUUGGUAAUGUUUGUUAAAAAGAAAAAUGUGCAACACAAACGUAUAAGAAGGGUCAGAUGUAUUAAUCAAGUAAAGAAAGGUGAAGAAAAAAAAGGAAAUGUUCACAUUAGCUUUUCUAGCAAUUGACUCCAGUAGAAAGACUUGCCUUCUUGACUCAGCAAUAUAACAUUAUUUUCAGGACCACCAAAAAUUAAUGACUUGACCAGUAGAAAUAGAAGCUAUACAUACAUCCAUAUGUUAAAAAAAAAAAAAAAAAAAAAAUAUUCUAGUCACACCCCAAAAUGCACCUAAAGAUAGUCUGAAAAUGUAAAAAAAAACACUGGAAUCUAUGACUAAGAUUCAAACAAGAGUGCAUCAUAUCAUAUAUUAUUAUAAGUGGGAAGCUUCUAACCUCAAAGUUGAAUUACUAUUUUAUCCUUUAUUUAAAUAUUAUUUUUUUUAUGUACAAAAGAAAAAAAUAUAUUCUAAUAACUAAAUACAAAACUGGAUAUAAAUGGGAGCAGUUUUAAGGUAUUCAAAUGUGCAUUAUAUUAUGUAAUAAAUAUAUUGGAAGAUAGAAAGUCAUUCAAAUGGAUGAAAUAGCUUGAGUAAGUUGUUAGCGGAAGUCCAAGCAUUUGAAAAUUGAAGAGUUAUCUUGAUGACACUUAUUUCACAUUAUUAUUGCCAACUUCAAUGUAAUUGUUAACAAUUAUAUAUAUGGGGAUGUUCAUGGAUUAUUUGAUAGGCAUAGCUUGUGAAACACUGAAUGCAAGGAGGGAGUCAAGCCACUCAAGAAUUAUUUUUUCAUGCUCUCUUUGAUCAGUAAGUUUAAUAAAAACAAAUAUGUUGCUUCUAUUUCCUUAAAUAAACAUUUCAUAUUUAUUUUUUUGAAUUUUUGACAAGAAAGCUCUUUUACAUGUAUUCACCAUCUUGAAAUGUGUAUGCAUGUUUACUUAUGAAUCAUGAUUCGAAAUACGAAGGUUAAAUUAUCUAAUUAUUUUAUAUCAUUUCAUGAAUUAAAAUAGAAUAUUUUUAAAUUCUUUAGAAUAAAUUUUACAUAUUUAUACAUUACAAUCAAAAGUGACAGGAAAUUCACUUUUAAUUAUUUUGUGUUUGUAGAUAACCCUUUUAUUUAUUUACUUUUUAUGAAUGAAAAUGUGGAAGUAAGAAAGAAAACUAUAAAAAUAAAAUGGUGGGAACAUAAACGAAAGGCGAAGACAAGAAUUAAGGCAAAUGAUGCAAAAUAGUAACGUUAGGGGAAAAUAAUAAUAAAGUAAGAGAAAAAAAAGGAUAAAAAAUAUUAAAAUAUGAUAAGAAGUAUGAAAAAUAACCAUGACCAAACUAUUGUAAUUUUUUGUUCAUGCUACAAAGGAGAAUAAACAUACUAUGUCAUGUGAAUGUAAUAUGGAGACAACAUAUAUACUUGUUACAAGUACAUAUGGUAAUUCAAACUUCGGUACAAAUUGAGAAGGUAUUUUAUGUGUGUAUUGUCCCUUUCUUAGAAAAGUAACAAACUAAUAUAUUGCAGGUUUCGGCCUAAUAACAUAAAAAGGUAAAUUAUUUAUCACAUUAAAUUUUGUUGUUCAAAUUUGGCAGGUUACCGAAAUAUCUAAUUAUUUGGCAUUUACAUUUUACAAUAAAGAAGUCAUUUAUAUAGGUUGAUUGUUCAUUUAUUUCAUUUAUAUUUUUUCGUUAAAUCAUUUGUGAAAUUCAGCACAAUGUGAUUUUAAUAUAACUCCUACCACAUAUAAUAUUUUCGUGGGACUCACGUGCAAAGCACGUGUUCAGGACUAGUAUUAUUAAAAGUGGAAGCAUCAAAGUACAAUGUUGGAUUACCAUUUUACCCUAAUAUUAAAUAAAAAUGUUAUAAAAUAUUUAAUUAACAAAAUAUUAAAUAGUAAUCAUAUCACAUAUUAUACUGUACUUAAAAUAUAUAUUUUUACAUAAAAUAGAUACAUUUAAAAUACAAUUAUUAAUUGAUAAUCUUCUAAAAAAACUGUUGUCUCUUUACAUUCUCCACUAUGAUCCUUGUCUUUUCAUUUCACAUAUGUAUAUCUUCUUGUUCUUUACAUUUUGUUUUUAUGAGUUUGAUAGAGAGCAUAGGAACACUGUCCUUUCCGAUGCUCCAUUGUGCAUGUUCUUUUAAGUUAUUUUUUGGGAAAAUGCACAAGUACCCCCGGAAAAGGGGUAGAAAAUUAUAUAUAUAAUAAGUUCGGGGGUAAUAGGACCUUAGUAAAGGUUAGGUGUGUCUCAUGGAUUUAGGGCAUAGGCUGGGGGUACUUAUGCAUUUUCCCUUAUUUUUUAUUUUGUUUCUUACUUCUUACUUCUUACUUCUUACUUAUCAUAUAGUUUAUUGUUUGAUUGAUGUUUAAGAUUUUGAUCUCUGAUAUAAAAUAAAAAAUUUAAUUUUGUGUCAAUAGCUUAUGAGAUGAUUUUUUUGUUGCAGGGAAAAUCAAUUGAUGAGAUGCUUCUGUCUCAAUCGCAUAGAACUGUACUUUGAGUUGUGCCAAUACUAAUGGGGUAAGUGACAUUUCCUUCUAACAUUAAUUUUUUUGUUAGCACAAUAUUCUUUGUUUGGUUUUUCUUUUCUCUUUUUUAUUUUGUUAAUAGUAGGUCAAAUUUAUUGAAUUUUCAUUCAUGUGAUUUAUUUGUGUGUAAAGCUAAUUAAGUAUUGAAUUUUGAUAUCAACCGUCAUAACCCAAUAAAAGUAAAAAACGUAUUUAUGAGCUAUGGCAUGUUGAGUGAUUUGAUAUUCAUUGCCUAUUUGGCUUCACUUUCUUUGUCUGAAUUUAAUUUUUUUAAUGGAGCUUUCAUCCAAAAAGAAAGAAGGGAGGAUAACAACCCAUGUUAAGAAAGAAAGGAAUGACUACAAUAUCAUAUUUUGGUUAUUUUUCUCACGAAAUUAUAUUAACUUUCUUUGCUUUAAUUUUAGUUGAUUGCUUUAGUUAUUUGAGCCAUAGUUUAUCCCUCCCUUUCUCCUUUAGAAUUUAUAUUACUUAUCACUCACAUGUCGUAAUAUUAUUUUUUAUCCCUUUUUUUUUUUUGACAACAUAAAACAAUACAUGUCUUUUUGUUUCUCAAGUACAAUUUUAACAAUACAGUUCGACAAAAUAUAAAUGAAAUGUUGAAUUCCUUUUCUAACUAAAAAAAAUAUUAUAAUUGCGUUGAGUCACAUCAAAUAAAGUUCGUAUAGAAAUGUAAUAUUGAUUUUGGAGGUAGGACAACGGUUAAUUGAUGAUAUGAGCAUAUUAAGCCUGCAAUCUAUGGAUUUAAUUAACUUAAUUGUUUUUUUUAUCAAAACAUAACAUCUAUAUAAAAACUACUACUAAAAUUUGACAAAUUCAUAUCAAAUUUUAACUCAUAAAUUCAAAUUAAAAUCAAUUUAGUACUAAUUAAGAAUCUUCAAAGUUGGACAUUUUAGAUAUUGGAUGUCAUUGAUUUUUGAAUAUAUUUAUCAUAUUGAUGCAAUUUUGAAAAAUACUUAUGCUCACUGUGGUAAGGGAUAUACGCGCGUGCCCAAAUACUAGUAGUGAUAUAAAUACCUCAACUUGUGAAAAAAAUGAAUGUUUUAAGCACUUCUAACCUCGCAUGUUCAUGUCCACAGUUAAUAUGGCUACUAUUAACCUUCUCCCAUUCAUUUUCUGUAUCACCAGUUUUGAUCCCGAAACAACGAGGGGGCCAUUGGACAGAGGAGCCACUGUCACUCUGAUGAUCCCCUUUACAUUCUCCGACCUCGAGGAUUCAACAACCUCUUCUGUGUACUGAAAGUGUAUAAUAUUCCUAUGCCAUUGGGUUAAGUUACCUGCAAUAACAAGUAAUUGUUUGUAACAGAUAUGUAUUAUAAGCUUGAAAAUAAAGUAGCAAAACCUGCUACAACAACUAGAGAAAAGUAAAUUUUAUUAGAAAAAAUAGACUGUCCAGCAAUACAAAGCUGAUACUGAAACAUUACACAAAUAGAGUAAAAACUUCUACACUGCAAGGUAUAUAACAUAAACUCUUAAAUAAUGAAACUAGAAAUUGAAUGACUUCCAGCUCAAGAAAUUUCUCACAGUAGUACAUCAAUAACAAAGAAAUGGGGUGUAGAACUUUUAACUACUUUGUUCUAGUUAUAUCAGAGCAAGUAAUCCAUUUAUCGGUCACAGAAUUUGGAGAAGGUAGUGAUUUAACUUGUUUCAACGAUAACGUAUCUUCUGAUUCAAGGAAAGGAGAAGCUGUUACUAUUUUAGCUUCAGUGGCAUUGAUAUUAGACUCAGUUCUCUUUUCAUUGCCAAAUUCACUAGUCUGAAUCUCGUUUAGAGUAUCCAAAACUUCAACCAUAGUAGGCCUCAUGUCCCUAUCUGUCUGCAAGCACAGAAAAGCCAGCUCUGCCACUGAAGUAGUCAUUUCCCAAAUCUUGGUAUCUGAAUCGAACCCCAGGGAUGGAUCAAUCAACUCAUGAAAUGCACAUUUUACGAUCUUGUUUAUUGCAAAGUUAGACAAAUUAAUCUCUUGGCUAUGCCUAUUCAUAUCCACAGCUGGCAUUGAUGAAAUGAGCUCAACAAGGACCACCCCGAAGCUAUAAACAUCACUUUUACUAGUCAGCUGGUAACAUUCGUGAUACUUUGGAUCGAUAUAGCCAGGGGUUCCCCGGGGUGCAGUUGAAAUAUGAGAGACAUCAUUUGGGAAGAGCCUUGAAAUCCCAAAAUCUGCAACUUUAACACUAAAGUUGUGAUCAAGGAGUAUGUUGUUAGUCUUGACAUCGCAGUGUAUUACGUCAGAAGCAUGUAGAUAAGCCAAUGCACCAGCAGUUUCUAUGGCAAUGUUCAUGCAAAUCGGCCACGUGAGUGAUCCAUCCUUCGCUUUAUUACCAUGGAGGUGAUCAGCAAGAGUUCCAUUAGGAAUAUAUUCAUAGACAAGGAGUAGUUCACGGCUUCGCCUUGAAGUGCAACCAUAGAGGGUAACAAGAUUGUUGUGCCUUAGCCUAGUAAGGAUCUCAAUUUCAUUCACAAACUGCUGCAUUCGUUUGCAGUUGUGCUCGUAAAGGCGCUUCACAGCAACCUCUCUUCCAUCCUUAAGCUUUCCUGGUCAUUGAUGAACAAGAGUUAGGUACAUGAAGAAACAGUUGAAGCAUAGCGCAGUUGGAUUAGGAAGUCUCUCACCAUAGUAAACGGUUCCGAAACCUCCAUCUCCAAGGACUCUAGAAGAACUGAAAUCAUUUGUGGCUUCUUCAAGUUCUGAAUAAGAGAAGACUAGGACACCAAAGUAUAUACUGCCUCCCUCAACAUCAUGUUUGAAAAUGUCCGAGAAUUUCUUCGUUAAGAGGAAGCGGGAUGGACUAAAUUUCUUCUCCUUGUAACACCAGAUAAAGGAGACAACUAAAGUUAUCAUCACCAAUCCUACACCACCAAAAACUGAAAGAGAAGUCAGUAAUCUCCCUCAACUCCAGUAUCCAUACAUUUACAUAACCUAAGGUACUUGUCUUUUCCUAUCAUUCUGUCAUUAUCUAAUAAAGUUUAAAUGAUAUGCAUGUAAAUUCUGAAAUAGGAAAGAACUCUGCAGUUAAUGGAUAUUAAAUUACCUGCUCCCAGAGUCACUCCUAACUUGCUUUUUGUUGUUUUUGCAUCUAAAAUAAGAGCGAAAAUACUAUGAAUAUUAAUGAUAUGUGAGAUGAAAAUAGGAAAGGGUAAGAAAUAUGCACUAGACCUUGAGCAUGUGGAUUAUUUAUACCUGUACAUUGAAAUUUGUUGGUUUUAUCAGUCUGGCAAUGACCUCCACCUUGGUGACAUUGGUAACAGUCGUAAGACAGUUCCCAUUGUACCAGAAAAACGUGACUUAACAUUUUGAACACAUCCCUAUCAUAUGCUAACGUGUCAAUUGGCAAUCUGAUAAGUGAACAAUUGGCAGGAAAAUUGCCUGCUCGAAUGUCUUCAUCACCAUCUCCAGAAAGCUUGUAGUAUAUGCUAAAGUCUUUACAACCAUUGUAUAUUUUAUAACCAGCAAAAUGAUCAUUCUUCUUAUGGGUAGUGUUUGGGGCAUUACGACUGGUGCUGUUACAUUUGAAGAAAUCGUGAAGCGUAGGGGUAGUGAAAGAAAUAGAAGGAGAGUCUUGAAGGGAGGAAACUUUUAGUCUAAAAGUACUGGCACUUGUGUUGCCUCAACAUGGUAUGAAGCUUCGGGUCCAAGAGCCAAACUGUAAAAUUAUGCGGUUUUUCCAUAGGAGUGUACCAAUCCCCUCCAGGAAGCAGUUGGAUUCUUGGAUAUGGUUUAGUAUCACAACCAGACAUGAUCAUUAGUCCGCAAUCAGAUCGUGAGGAAAGAGAGAAAGGAAAGCUCAAGUCAGUAAGAUUCCCACAUGAAAAGAACUUUGGACAAGUUGAAUCAUUUUUUCCCUUUGCCUGAACUAAGAUCAGAAGAAGAGAUAGAAGGAAGCAAAUAAAAGAAGAAGCCAAAGCCAUAUUGAAUCUAUACUGCAAGAAGAGGAAAAACUCGAAGGUUUGUGAAUCGUAAUUCUAGCUAGCUCACCAGAACUCUCUUAUAAGAUCAAAUUCCAUAACUUCUAAACAUUGUAAUCAUUACAAGUCUUUCUCACUGGUAAAAUUUGUCAAAAAGAAACACUAUGUGGAACCAAACGUAUAAGAUGGGUCAGACUUAUUGGGGGGAAAAAAGCUGAAGAGAAAAGGAAAUUCUUACAUUGGCCUUUAGCCAUUGACACCAGUGGUAAGACUUGACUUCUUAAGUCUGCAAACAAACAUCAACAUCUAAGUCUUUGGAAAUGGAUGACUUGAACUGUAGAAAUAGAAGCAAUAUUCAUUUCAGUUGACUGAAAUUUAAUUGGUAUGCAGAUAGAUCCAAAGGCGAAAACAACAAAGGAAAUGGUUCUUGUCACACCUUAAAAGACACGCAAAGAUAGAAUGUAAAAACAAAUAUACAACUUUGCAUUUGCUCACUUUCUCAUUAGAAACUACCAAGAAAGUAUUUUCAAGAUUGACGGAGUAUACACAAAAUAAGCUAGAAAUAUAGGCUAUGUUUCAUGUCAUCUUCUCCGAUGAUUUAGAAAAGAAUCAAAUCAUUAUCGCCAUCCCUAGCUUAUGGAACACUCACCUUAGAGUCCAAGACUAUGAAUUUAUGGCUAAGGUUGAAACACUCAAACUAACACUAGUACUUGCAUAGAUUUCUAAUGAUGGCCCCUCUAUUCCAGGAGUUCCAUUAGUACCUCAUCUUGUUAGUUUAAGCUUAUAAUUUUUUUUCCUAAUUUCUCCCAUAAGAAAAGACAACAAAAAGAGAGGGUCUUUGGACAGAGCCACUGCUUUGCAGGACCUGCCAGUAUAUGUGACAGCUCUUAUAUAAUCAAAUCAAAUAUUGAAUCACUUUCACUCAUAGAUACAUAGCUCAAGAAACUCUUACAGUUGUACAUUCGUAAUCUCUCAAAAUUCACAUCAAUAACAAAGAAAGGGAGUAUAGAACUUUUAACUACUUUGUAGUAGUUAUAUCAGAGCAAGUAACCCAUUUAUCAGUAACAGAAUUUGGAGAAGACAGUGAUUUAACUUGUUUCAGCAUAAACUUAUCUUCUGAUUUAGGGAAAGGGAGUGCUGUAACAAUUUUAGCUUCAUUUCCACUGAGAUUAGUGUCAGCUCUCUUCUCAUUGUCAAAUUCACUAAUCUGAAUCUCUUUUAGAGUAUCCAAAACUUCAACCAUAGUAGGCCUCAUGUCCCUAUCUGUCUGUAAGCAUAGAAAAGCCAACUCUGCCACUGAAGUAGUCAUCUCCAAAAUCUUGGUAUCUGAGUCGAACCCCAGGGAUGGAUCAAUCAACUCAUUAAAUGCACAUUUUACAAUCUUGUUUAUUGCAAAGUUAGCCAAAUUAAUCUCUUGGCUAUGUCUAGUCAUAUCCACAGCUGGCAUUGAUGAAAUGAGCUCGACAAGGACCACCCCGAAGCUAUAAACAUCACUUUUACUAGUCAGCUGGUAACAUUCAUGAUACUUUGGAUCGAUAUAGCCAGGGGUACCCCGGGGUGCAGUUGAAAUAUGAGUGACAUCAUUUGGGAAAAGCCGUGAUAUCCCAAAAUCUGCAACUUUAACAUUAAAGUUGUGAUCAAGGAGUAUGUUAUUAGUCUUCACAUCGCAGUGUAUUACGUCAGACGCAUGCAGGUAAGCCAAUGCACCAGCAGUUUCUAUGGCAAUGUUCAUGCGGACUAGCCAGGUGAGUGAUCCGUCCUUCACUCUGUCACCAUGGAGGUGAUCGGCAAGAGUUCCAUUAGGAAUGUAUUCAUAGACAAGGAUUAGUUCACGGCUACGCCUUGAAGUGCAGCCAUAAAGAGUGACAAGAUUGGUGUGCCUUAGCCUAGUAAGGAUCUCAAUUUCAUUUACAAACUGCUGCAUUCGUUUGCAGUUGUGCUCGUAAAGGCGCUUCACAGCAACCUCUCGUCCAUCCUUAAGUUUCCCUAGACAUUAAUGAACAAGUAUUAGACACAUGAAGAAAGAAUUGAAGCAUAGCUCAGUUGGAUUAGGAAGUCUCUCACCAUAGUAAACAGUUCCGAAACCUCCAUCUCCAAGGAUUCGAGAGGAAUUGAAAUCAUUUGUGGCUUCUUCAAGUUCUGAAUAAGAGAAGACUGGGAUGCCAAAGUAUAUACUGCCUCCCUCAACAUCAUUUUUAAAUAAAUAUGACAAUUUCCUUGUUGAGAGGAAGUGGGGCGGAUUAAAUUUCCUCCUCUUGCAACACCAGAUAAAGUAGACAGCUAAACAAAUCAUCACCAAUCCUAAUCCACCAAAAACUGGAAAAAAAUAUCAGUAAUCAGAGGUUUUCAGACAAAAGAAAACAUCACAAGGAAAAAGAAAGUGUCCUCUCAACUCCAC
Molecule: long non-coding RNA, 17717 nt
Filed under: Solanum tuberosum (potato)
Lineage: Eukaryota; Viridiplantae; Streptophyta; Magnoliopsida; Solanales; Solanaceae
Description: long non-coding RNA (STUB_LNC005361)
Source: RNAcentral